RNAcentral lists this ribosomal RNA (391 nucleotides) under uncultured bacterium. RNAcentral's name for it is "bacterial SSU rRNA". It matches the Rfam family "Bacterial small subunit ribosomal RNA", at positions 29 to 418 of the family's 1533-position model. The record is from RNAcentral.
AUUGAACGCUGGCGGCGUGCCUAACACAUGCAAGUCGAGCGGUAACAGGUGUAGCAAUACAUGCUGACGAGCGGCGGACGGGUGAGUAACGCUUGGGAAUCUGCCUAUUAGUGGGGGACGAACCCGGGGAAACGUCGGGCUAAUACCGCAUACGCACUACGGUGGAAAGCCGGGGACCGCAAGGCCUGGCGCUAACAGAUGAGCCCAAGUCGGAUUAGCUAGUUGGUAGGGUAACGGCCACCAAGGCGACGAUCCGUAACUGGUCUGAGAGGACGACAGUCACACCGGAACUGAGACACGGUCCGGACUCCUACGGGAGGCAGCAGUGGGGAAUAUUGGACAAUGGGCGAAAGACCUGAUCCAGCGACGCCGCGUGGGUGAAGAAGGCCUG